Molecule: transfer RNA, 66 nt
Filed under: Phyllomimus sinicus
Lineage: Eukaryota; Metazoa; Arthropoda; Insecta; Orthoptera; Tettigoniidae
Description: tRNA-Phe
Rfam family: tRNA
About the family: Transfer RNA (tRNA) molecules are approximately 80 nucleotides in length. Their secondary structure includes four short double-helical elements and three loops (D, anti-codon, and T loops).
Source: RNAcentral
ACUCAGGUAGCUUAAUAAAGAGAGCGUGACAUUGAAGAUGUCAAGGUGGUAAUUAACUUCUGGGUA